AUCUAGAAAUAAAAAAUUCUGGUGCCUGGGUAAGGCUGUAGGGCAGAGCUCAGACUGGACCCAGGGAGCAGAGUCCAAUUAUUUCUGGCAGGUCUGGAGGCAGAGCCCAGAACAAAAGCAGUCUGUUCACCUGAGGUGCACAGCUUUUUCUUUUUUUUUUUAAAGAAUGAGCUGAAGAAAGAAACAGCUGGGCUUUGAGAGACUGACCUUGCCCAUUGCUUUUCUGGUAACUGGGCCAAAAGCCGACUCAACCACAACAAAACAGUCAAGCCAUUCAUUUUUUCGGUUACUUGGCAACCUUAGGAUCCAUGCACAUGUAUUUCGCAAGGAAGGCAUCAAUCAUGAGUGCAAGCUGUGUAACCAGAUGUUUGACUCGCCGGCAAAGCUCCUGUGUCACCUGAUUGAGCACAGCUUCGAGGGGAUGGGAGGCACAUUCAAAUGCCCUGUUUGUUUUACAGUUUUUGUACAGGCAAAUAAAUUGCAGCAACAUAUCUUUGCUGUCCACGGGCAAGAGGAUAAAAUUUACGAUUGUUCCCAGUGCCCACAGAAGUUCUUCUUUCAGACCGAACUUCAGAACCACACGUUGAGCCAGCAUGCUCAGUGAGCCCCUGGCACUACAGGACAUCUCUCUGCAGAAGACUUGACGGAAGCUCAGUAGGGAGGACCAUUUGAACAUUACAUCCAAUCAAAGUGUCAUUUGCAACCCAGAUGUAAAACUCUAAUGAUUUGGCCAUGAGGCGCUGCUAUUAUAAGCAGCUGGAAAUGAAUAUUAAUGGAAGAGAUUAAAAGUAUUCCAUGCGCAGUAUUUUUUAUUGUCCUGCUCGAGCUUAGUGUACUUUAAAGCUUCUGCUUCUGACUGGAUUUAUAGUUGCUAGAUUGGAAGCUGCUUUGAUGCUCCUGCCCUUUGUUGCUUCUUGUAUUAUACGGAUAGUUCAAGAUUUAGAAGUGAUUUUUCCCCCCUUUCUUUUCUGUCCUUUUGUUUAUUUUGUUUUUUU
Molecule: non-coding RNA, 995 nt
Organism: Pogona vitticeps (central bearded dragon)
Lineage: Eukaryota; Metazoa; Chordata; Lepidosauria; Squamata; Agamidae
Source: RefSeq, a predicted model, not a curated record